RNAcentral lists this long non-coding RNA (1635 nucleotides) under Mus musculus (house mouse). RNAcentral's name for it is "Ftx transcript, Xist regulator, non-protein coding". The record is from RNAcentral. Lineage: Eukaryota; Metazoa; Chordata; Mammalia; Rodentia; Muridae.
CCCUCUUGCCUGGAGCAUUAACACAACGUGGCUGCAAAGUUAGUCCUUUCCCGCUACCAUCUCCUGAAUACUGGGACUAACUACACGUAUGCACGAACCUGCCCAUCUUUGCCUCUGUUAACAGCUGCCACUGUCUCUUCACGACAUGAUGGCUGACCUAGGUUGGAAGGAACAGAGCCAGUUGGCCAUGGACUGAAACUUUUGGAACUGAUUCUGAGGAGUUAAUGUUUCCAUGAAUAUCUCAGAAGGAGAUGUGGACAAACGAACAGUUAUCUCACUCCUGUAGGUUGGACUACAGUGAUCACUGAGUAGGAGCUUCGUCUUUAAAAUCUGGGGUGUGCUGUUAUGUACUGGAUCUGUGAAAAGCUGAAUCAUGAAUCAGUGAGUGUGCGGAUUGGAACCCAAGUUGCUCUCUGGAUAGAACGAAAGGAGUCGUGCCCCAAGAAGAUGGAGAGGGAAGUUAUGAAAUGCUGUGACCAAAUAACAAAUGCUGAUGUUUGGGGAGAUAACUGUUUCCCAUAGGAAAUAGAGUGAAUGCGAUGUCUUUCUUUUGUGAGGGAUUCAUAGACCGCUUCUCAACGCUUGUUACAUGUUACUCCUUUUUUCGAGAUUUUUAUUUACCUAACUGGGAAAGAAACCAGAACAAGGUUUUCAUUGAAUUCUGAUACAGGUAUUUAAAGACUUACGGACAAGAUAUAGAAGAAGAAGUGGUAAUUAACUGAUUAAAGAAGUACAGUUUAUAUCCAGUAGACAGACAGGCUCCAGACAUCCUUAGUGCUGUCUUAGCAUCAAAGGUUAAUCUACCUAAUACUUGUCAUCCUGAAAUGCAUGGUGGAACAUCCAACAGACAAGAGCUACUUCAGGGAAGGACUAUGAUUUUUGUCGUGGAAGACAUUUAACACAGGGCAGCUCCUGUGCACUUACAUGAUAGAUAUUGCUCUUCCGGGGACUCUGAAUGCUCAUCCCACUUUCAGCUCACUAGGCACAUCGAACUAGAAAUUUUAUCAUCUCGUGAAUUAGUCCAAUACCUGAAGGAGCAAGAGAACCAACACCCAGUUGACAAGAAUAUGACCUGUUGAUUGAAGACCAUUAAGAAAGUAACUUGAUUCAGUUGGACUGGACUUUUUUAUUCUAUUGAAAAAGGAAUUUAUUUCCCCUCAGUGAACGUAACAUGAUCAACAUUUUGAAAGUUGUGAACAUGCAUAGUUCUAUAAUUUACAAAAUAAUUAUAAAAAUCUGAGUAUGGAUGCAGCAUAAUUUCAGAACAGAAUAGCCAUCAUACUUUUUAUAUAUCUUAAAUUCGAGUUUUCAAGAGUAUAUUUCUAUGUUAUAUCCUUUGAUUAGUACAAUAUAAAAUCUACAUCUAAUAUGUACUUCAGGUUUUAUUAGAUCAUGCCAUAUUACUGUACAAUUUGGACUUUUCCAUUUUUAUAUAAAAUGUAACAUGCAUUGUACAUUAAUAUUUAUAUAUCUUGUUUAUUUAUAUAUCUUUAGAAUUAAUUUCUGCCAAUUAUUUUCUUUAUUUGAAUACUUGGGGUAUCAUAAAGGUGCUGUUGAGGUAUUCUCAAUAUGCUUGUACAACUUCCUGCCUGUAGUUAAUAAAUGUGGAUAUUUCAUUAAACAAUUGAAAUAUAA